Molecule: ribosomal RNA, 429 nt
Filed under: Acidobacteriota bacterium
Lineage: Bacteria; Pseudomonadati; Acidobacteriota
Description: Acidobacteria bacterium partial 16S ribosomal RNA
Rfam family: Bacterial small subunit ribosomal RNA
Source: RNAcentral
UGGGGAAUUUUGGACAAUGGGGGAAACCCUGAUCCAGCCAUCCCGCGUGUGCGAUGAAGGCCUUCGGGUUGUAAAGCACUUUUGGCAGGAAAGAAACGUCAUGGGUUAAUACCCCGUGAAACUGACGGUACCUGCAGAAUAAGCACCGGCUAACUACGUGCCAGCAGCCGCGGUAAUACGUAGGGUGCAAGCGUUAAUCGGAAUUACUGGGCGUAAAGCGUGCGCAGGCGGUUCGGAAAGAAAGAUGUGAAAUCCCAGAGCUCAACUCUGGAACUGCAUUUUUAACUCCCGGGGUAGAAUGUGUCAGAGGGAGGUGGAAUUCCGCGUGUAGCAUUGAAAUGCGUAGAUAUGCUGAGGAACACCGAUGGCGAAGGCAGCCUCCUGGGAUAACACUGACGCUCAUACACGAAGGCGUGGGGGGCAAACAAU